Molecule: ribosomal RNA, 384 nt
Filed under: Pusia vassardi
Lineage: Eukaryota; Metazoa; Mollusca; Gastropoda; Neogastropoda; Costellariidae
Description: partial 12S ribosomal RNA
Source: RNAcentral
UCUUGGAAGUAAAAAGAAAAUGUCUACCAGAGUACUACGAAUUUAAAGAAUUUAAAACUCAAAGGGCUUGGCGGUGCUUUUAGACCUUUUAGGGGAACCUGUCUUGUAAUCGACAAUCCACGCUAAACCUAACCUUUUUUUGCAAACAGUUUGUAUACCGUCGUCGUCAGGUAACUUUUAAAAAAUUAAUAGUUAGCAUAAAAAGAUAAAUAAUUUUAAACGUCAGAUCAAGGUGCAAUCAAUAAAAAGGUUAAGAUGGGUUACAAUUAUAUAUUAAUAAUACGAAUGGAUAACUGAAAUGUUUUCUUGAAGGAGGACUUAAAAGUAAAGAUGUUUAUAUAUUUAUAUAUAGAUAUAUGUAUUGAAUAAGGCUCUGAAGCGUGC